RNAcentral lists this transfer RNA (81 nucleotides) under Eubacteriaceae bacterium CHKCI004. It matches the Rfam family "tRNA". Rfam says of the family: Transfer RNA (tRNA) molecules are approximately 80 nucleotides in length. Their secondary structure includes four short double-helical elements and three loops (D, anti-codon, and T loops). The record is from Rfam by way of RNAcentral. RNAcentral also lists the same sequence under 2 other names. Lineage: Bacteria; Bacillati; Bacillota; Clostridia; Eubacteriales; Eubacteriaceae.
GCGGAUAUGGCGGAAUUGGCAGACGCGCCAGAUUUAGGUUCUGGUGGGGCACCCGUGCAGGUUCAAGUCCUGUUAUCCGCA